UACGGAGGGUGCAAGCGUUAAUCGGAAUUACUGGGCGUAAAGGGUUCGUAGGUUGUUAUGUAAGUUGGCUGUGAAAGCCCCGGGCUCAACCUGGGAUGGUCAGUCAAAACUACAUGGCUAGAGUAUAGUAGAGGGGUGUGGAAUUUCCGGUGUAGCGGUGAAAUGCGUAGAGAUCGGAAGGAACACCAGUGGCGAAGGCGGCACCCUGGACUAAUACUGACACUGAGGAACGAAAGCGUGGGGAGCAAAC
Molecule: ribosomal RNA, 250 nt
Filed under: uncultured bacterium
Lineage: Bacteria
Description: partial 16S ribosomal RNA
Rfam family: Bacterial small subunit ribosomal RNA
Source: RNAcentral